GAUGCUAUAUUGAAUUUUUGGAGAGAAAGUGAAACAUGUCUGGGUCUAAGCAAGAAGUGAAUAUCUGCUUGGAGAUUCUGUACAAGAUGGUGGGGCUAGAGAAGCAACCUAGAAAGCAGAUUCCUUUACUGAUUCCUGUGAAGUGACUGUAGGACAGGGACAGGUGAAACAUUGGUUCUCGCAAAGAAAAAUGGAAAUAAUUGAGAUUUUUGGUGCAUGUGUGGAAAAUAAAGCCCCUUUAUCCAUAGAAUGGAUGCAUAUCCUUAAACAGCUCAUGGAAAAAUGUGCUGCAUUGAAGCUUGUUUUCUACUGCAUUUUUGUUGCAAAAUAUCAACUAUUAUGUGUAGAGAUCCCUAA
This 357-nucleotide long non-coding RNA is filed under the name Homo sapiens (human). Its description in RNAcentral is "HSALNT0306618". Lineage: Eukaryota; Metazoa; Chordata; Mammalia; Primates; Hominidae. The record is from RNAcentral.